GGAGAAUCAGGGUCGUGCUUUCCCGCGCCCCAGGUGCCGUUCUGCGGCUGCUGAUGUUUCCCGCCGCCCUCCUUUUCUUUUUUACGUGGUUUUGCCAGCGUGUGUGUGUCGCGUGCUUCUCAGAGUCGAUCAGAGCCCUGUUUUGCAGGUGUCUUGGGGACUAAAACAAGACAAACAACUCUCCCGUGUACGCGAACGCGGUGAUCUGUAAUUUCUGCUUCUCUCUACACCCGUCGCCGACGUGGUGCCGUCUAUGAAAUCAAGGAGCUGAGGCAGCCACGCUGUGAGGAGCAUCCUUCGCACACAUGCACACGCGUUGUCGCCUUUUUUUCGCGGCACAAGUUUAGAGAUGCACCUCACAUCUGUGGUGCAUCGGCCCCUCCCCCUCCUCCCCGCUCUGCCUCCUUCUCGCUCUUUGCACCGACCACACAUGUUUUCGGUUGUUGCUGCUCUUCUCUUGCGUGACUGACGUGCUUUCUGUUUUCGACUCAUGUGGCUCUCUCGCUUUAUCUGCUUUCUGUGCUGUCGUUGUUGUGCUUCGUGGCUCUGCACGAUGCGCCUGCUUCGCUACGUCUACCAGGGCCCUUCGGCCUCCUGCUCGGCUCCCUCUCGGUGCCUCUGCCUUCUUUCAUGCGAGCUAUUCCCUCCUUUAUCUCGUGCUCGCCUCCUUUCCCGCGCCGCGCACCGCAAUCAAG
This 695-nucleotide unclassified non-coding RNA is filed under the name Leishmania donovani. RNAcentral's name for it is "gene:unknown". Lineage: Eukaryota; Euglenozoa; Kinetoplastea; Trypanosomatida; Trypanosomatidae. The record is from RNAcentral.